UGAGGAAUAUUGGGUCAAUGGGCGGAAGCCUGAACCAGCCAAGUAGCGUGAGGGAAGACUGCCCUACGGGUUGUAAACCUCUUUUGUUUGGGAAUAAAGUGCGGGACGCGUCCCGCAUUGCAUGUACCAUUUGAAUAAGGACCGGCUAAUUCCGUGCCAGCAGCCGCGGUAAUACGGAAGGUCCGGGCGUUAUCCGGAUUUAUUGGGUUUAAAGGGAGCGCAGGCCGUGGGUUAAGCGUGUCGUGAAAUUCCGUCGCUCAACGGCGGACGUGCGGCGCGAACUGGUCCACUUGAGUACGCGGGACGUUGGCGGAAUUCGUGGUGUAGCGGUGAAAUGCUUAGAUAUCACGAAGAACUCCGAUUGCGAAGGCAGCUGACGGUAGCGCAACUGACGCUGAGGCUCGAAAGUGCGGGUAUCGAACAGGAUUAGAUACCCUGGUAGU
This 443-nucleotide ribosomal RNA is filed under the name uncultured Prevotella sp. RNAcentral describes it as "bacterial SSU rRNA". It matches the Rfam family "Bacterial small subunit ribosomal RNA", at positions 355 to 794 of the family's 1533-position model. Lineage: Bacteria; Pseudomonadati; Bacteroidota; Bacteroidia; Bacteroidales; Prevotellaceae. The record is from RNAcentral.